RNAcentral lists this long non-coding RNA (821 nucleotides) under Olea europaea subsp. europaea. The record is from RNAcentral. Lineage: Eukaryota; Viridiplantae; Streptophyta; Magnoliopsida; Lamiales; Oleaceae.
AUACAAUAAUCAACAAAAAUUUCCUGACCCGAGCCCGUUCACAUUCACUAUGCCCCCUUUGACCUCCAUUAAUUUUCAUUCCAUUAUAUUUCAUUUUUCUCUCUCCUAUUUUCAACCACACAAUCUUCCAAAAAUUAAUAUUACACGUAAAUCGAUAACUUUUCCUUUUUUUCAACCACUCAUUUUUCAAAAAAAACAGUAUUCUACCUAUUUUCAUUUUCACAAAAUGAAAGCUGAACAAGGACUUAAUUAAUAUCUGAUCACAAAGUUGUUUCACGGUGCAAAUUGUUAGAAGGAAUUUAGGCUACUAUUUUGGAAUGUUUGACUUAGAUCAUUGGGAUUAACCCUGUUAAGUAGAUGCUCUUGCAAGGUUUUUUAUUUUUAAUUUUUUUAUAAGUUAACGGUCUACAAUAAUUAACAAAAAUUUCCUGAACAGAGUCCGUUCACAUUCACUACUAAAUAAUUAAUAUCUUAUCAUGAAGUUGUUUCUCGGUACAAAUUGUUAGAAGGAAUUUUGAAGUAAAUAAUGUUUUAAGUUUUUUCAUAUAUUCAUAAAUUUUGAGAAUGCACCAGUGCAAAUGAAAUAUGGAAACACAAACAGAUGUAUGUGCAUGCAUAUGCAUACAAGCAGUAGUGCAAACAUUUUUUUUAGAAGACGAAUUGUUCUUUAAUACAAAUUAAUUCUGUUCUCCUCCCGACCCUCGAUUUAUUUGUUCUCCAAGAAUGUUGAGCCGGGUAGGUAAGCCAUGUUUCAGCUAUUAAACUGGAUAUUAUGAGCUUUUAAUAACUUAAGAUCAACAUAAACAUUUAGCGUAGACUCU